AGGUUAAGCUAAUAAGAGCACACGGAGGAUGCCUAGGCGCCAGGAGCCGACGAAGGACGUGGCGAACAACGAAACUGCCUCGGGGAGCUGUAAGCAAGCUUUGAUCCGGGGGUGUCCGAAUGGGGAAACCCAGCUGUGGUAAUUCGCAGUUACUCAUUUCUGAAUACAUAGGAAAUGUAGAGGCAGACCAGGGGAACUGAAACAUCUAAGUACCCUGAGGAAGAGAAAACAAUAGUGAUUCCGUCAGUAGCGGCGAGCGAACGCGGAACAGCCUAAACCUAAGAGCUUGCUCUUAGGGGUUGUGGGACGUCUCACAUGGAGUUACAAAGGAAUAUGGUAGGUGAAGAGGUCUGGAAAGGCCCGCGAUAGAGGUAAAAGCCCUGUAACCUAAACUGUAUUCUCUCCGAGACGGAUCCCGAGUAGUGCGGGGCACGUGAAACCCCGUAUGAAUCCAGCAGGACCAUCUGCUAAGGCUAAAUACUACCUGGCGACCGAUAGUGAAACAGUACCGUGAGGGAAAGGUGAAAAGCACCCCGGAAGGGGAGUGAAAUAGAACCUGAAACCGUGUGCUUACAAAAAGUCAGAGCCCGAUCUAUGGGUGAUGGCGUGCCUUUUGUAGAAUGAACCGGCGAGUUACGUUUAACAUGCAAGGUUAAGCCGAGAAGGUGGAGCCGCAGCGAAAGCGAGUCUGAAUAGGGCGA
This 701-nucleotide ribosomal RNA is filed under the name Paenibacillus odorifer. Its description in RNAcentral is "bacterial LSU rRNA". It matches the Rfam family "Bacterial large subunit ribosomal RNA", at positions 1 to 695 of the family's 2925-position model. The record is from RNAcentral. Lineage: Bacteria; Bacillati; Bacillota; Bacilli; Caryophanales; Paenibacillaceae.